Non-coding RNA from Styela clava, 1608 nucleotides. Lineage: Eukaryota; Metazoa; Chordata; Ascidiacea; Stolidobranchia; Styelidae. The record is from RefSeq and is a predicted model, not a curated record.
AAUACAAUUUCGUUUGCAUAUAAUUAUCUUUCUUUAUGAGAAAAUCCACAUUCUCUGUUUCAUUGCCUAAUAGAGUUAUUUCAAGUAAUGUUUUCGCUGUUUGGUGCAUGAAGUGUUUGAUCAUAAUGGGAUUUGGAAUCUAUCAAUCAAAAUAACUUUCUCAAUACCUCUUGUGCUUUGUGAAUUCGUAACUUGGUAGUCGGUUGAUUGGCCAUCUGACCCGCAGAUAUCGAUAGACACAGAAUAGUAUAUUUCAAUUUAUUUUAAUAUCUCUCGAAACCAAAAUGGGUUGACACUUAAGCUGUCUUUGUCUUCACCAAAGUUAGGCGAAAUAUCCUAGAAUUUGUGGAAUGUGUGUAUGGCUUGCAUUUUUUUAACUGAGGAACAGGGGGUCAUGAGUGAUAAAAGCUAUCAGAAGAGGGCUAUUAUCCCUAAAAGGUGUCCUCAUUCUCACCAAGGACUUAUCAAUUGCAGAAUUGUGUGUGGCUAUAAACAGAAGAAGGAAAAUUAUUUCUGUUUGAAAAUAUAGCAGAAUGGAUCAUAUUAGUAAUUUGUUUGAAUACUUUAUAUUAUAUAUACAAAUUAAUAUAUGACCAGACUUGUUUGUGAAUGUCAACCACAAAAAAAUUUCCACUGGUUGGUAUACUGGAAAUCACCUGAUUUUGAACUAGUGUAAAACCGGUAUUUGAUAUUGAAACAGUUACUCUCAACAGUGCAAAAAUUGAUAGCAAAUUGCUUUCCAAAAAUCCCCAAAGUGCUUAAAUAUGACAAAAUUUUUUUUUUUAACACUAUUCAUUCGCCAGAUUAACCCACAUUUAAACAAUCUAUUCAAUUUGUUAAUUAUGGUGAAUACAGUUUAUUUGUCAUGACUCUUACUUAUAUUUAUUUUGAAUCAUAUGGUAGUUUGGUAUGGCAAUUUGUUUAAUAUUAACCAUGUUUAAUGAGCUGUCAAUAUAAUUGGUCAUUGAAGCAUUUUUAAAUUGGGUCUGACUUCGGAAACUGCUGUUUGAAUUAAUACACAUCUGAAAUAGCAAUUUUCUUGUGUACUGAUGUAUGUGGGAAAGUGAUGUUUUUCCAAUAUCAUCACAAAUAAAAUGUUUUUGUAACAUAUUCAGUAAAUGUGUCGAAACAAAUAUAGACUGUUUAUAAUCUGUGACAUUUUUUAUUAUCACAAUGUGUUAAUAAAACAAUAAUGAACUGGGUUAAUCAAUUAUUGUUUUUGGCGAAUCAACAUUAUAAAAAUUUUGAUACUGGUGUGAAACAAACAUUCAUAAACAUUUUGUUGAUUGAUGCUUGUUUUACAUGUGAGAGGGUAAAUUUGCAAUUACGAAAGUUUAAUAUAUACAAAGUGCUAGUAAGGAGAAUUGACAAUGCUUAGCUGUAAUUGAAAUUAUAUGGAAACUAAAUUUAGAUGUCUUUCAUUUGCACCGAUACAUAUUUUAUAUUUUGAGCAAAAGUUAUAUAUAUUUGAUUGGAUUAAUUAAUUAAUUUAAUUAGAAUUCUUAGUAUAGGAGUUAUUCAUUAGAUAUAUUUCUUUGGAUAAACACAUUCUUAGGAAACUUUUGGUAUUGUUCAAUUUUAUUAAUAAAUGUAAAAAAAGGUAUCGGG